UUUUUUUUUUUUUUUUUUUUUUUAAGAAAAGGUUCAUAGACACCCUUUAGACAGGAAUUAAAAUUAUUGUUAGUUCUACCCAGUGUCAAAUUUUAUCAGUUAAUUAACUCGGAAAUUAAUGUUGUAGAACCUGAAGGCUGGUUCUAAAGAGAGUUUCACAAAGGGGGAGCAAUGUCGGAUGUACUAACAUCUCCAAAGUUCAAUGUUUAAACUAUAAGUAGGCUUAAUUUGGGAUUAUGGGAAAAAACACCUUAUAUGUGGCGAUAAAAAAAUAGUUUUUUUAAAAAAGUUUCGUGUCUAAAUUAUACGUUUUGUAUAUCAUAAUAAGUUGAUUACGAGCAGUCUCAUCAGAAACAAAAAAAAGUUAUGUUAUUUUAUGCUUUUCACUAGAAAACGAAGAAAUAUAUUUACGUACACUUUUAUCCCAGCUCUGUUUUGCCUACCAGUGUUAGGCUACGUUUGGGAUUGCGGGAAGAUUGCGUUACGAGCGGUGAAAAACGAUAUUGUUUUCGUACGUAAUAUUGCGUUCCGCAUAUUACGGUUAGUCGGUUACGAUAUAUUUUCUAUGAUCCCAUCAGAGAACGCAGAAGCAUAUCCCUAUAUGCUUUUCUCAACUCUAUUCUAUCUGAUAGUGUUAGAUUGACUCCAAUACCAAACUAAGCCUUAGUCGGCCUCAAAUUACAGAUCUCUUCUUUGUGGCCUCAUAUCCAUUAGCCUAUGAGCCAAUUAUCUUCAUGGGCCAGAUAAUAUAUUGGGCUGUUGAGAGUUUUUAGUAGGGCUUAGGGCAUGUUUGGUACGCCGGAAGUGAGGGGCCGAAGCCCGACAAAGCGAUAAUAUGUUCGGAGAAAAUGGUUUAUUCUCAACCUCACCGUAGCAGGUGAUCCUCUAUGUAGAGGUUGCAUCACAUCAGCUAUAUAUAUCUUAAGCCAAUUAAACUUCUUCAUUUCAGAAAAAAGUAUGAUGAGUCGAUAAAUUCUAUAAACAUAAUUUGAUUGGCUGAAGAUACGACGACGAAGUGUUACUAUCAUAGUUUAUACUUUUUCUCCACACGAGACUCUGAGAGCGCUAUAGAUUGGCCUUUUGAAAUACCAAACAUCGAUCAUAAUCUGGGAGCGCUAUGGAUUGGCUUUUCCAAGUACCAAACAGCCGCUUCUAUGAUGAGUUGAGAUCCCUAUCACUCUAACAUAUACUGUAUACAACAAAUAUCUAGAUCUCUUAUUUGCCCUCCCCACAUUUUCUAGUGCACAAAGUUUUUUUUUCACAAUAAUAAUUGAUUUUAUGCUCUAAGUAGGAAAAAUAAGAAAGGUUUCUUGAUAUGUAUGUAGUUAAGAAACUUAUAACUGAUUUCUUUUUUAUUUUUAGUUUUUGCAUAUCUAAUAUUCUUUUUUUCACACACACACACACACACACACACACACACACAUAUAUAUAUAUAUAUAUAUAUAUAUAUAUAUAUAUAUAUAUAUAUAUAUAUAUGGAGUUUGAUUGGACAACUAUCGAUAGUAAACUGCUCGGUUUACUACCGAUUUUAUUUUUGAUGAUAGAGCUUCCAAAUCGACGAUCGGCACCGUUGAAUAUGAUCUAGACCAUUUAAAUUAUCUAGAAAUAAAAUUUCAUGACACUGAAUGAUCAAAGGGUCACAAAAUCUAUAAUUUUAGUAGCCGAUAUGGUGCGUUUGCUCGUUUAACGGUAUAGAAGAGUUCAAAUCAACUAAAUUUUUAUUAGAAAAUUCUUUAAACUAUUUAAAAUAAGAUCUAGACUCUAGAUUUCAAAUAUAAAAAUUAUAUCAUCACUUUUUGAAAAAUAUUCAUUUUCAGCCGUNCUUUUUCU
Molecule: long non-coding RNA, 1830 nt
Filed under: Ananas comosus (pineapple)
Lineage: Eukaryota; Viridiplantae; Streptophyta; Magnoliopsida; Poales; Bromeliaceae
Description: long non-coding RNA (ACOM_LNC002488)
Source: RNAcentral